Long non-coding RNA from Diachasmimorpha longicaudata, 2086 nucleotides. RefSeq lists it as uncharacterized. The record is from RefSeq and is a predicted model, not a curated record. The transcript is spliced from 3 exons. NCBI's taxonomy places the organism in Eukaryota, Metazoa, Arthropoda, Insecta, Hymenoptera, Braconidae.
UCAGUCGGUCUCUCUAUCUGCACAGUCUGCAACUUGAGUUUUUACUGGUAUGUGUGGAUAUUAGACAGAGCCACGACAUACAUAUAUCGGUCCAUCGGUCUAGACCACGGACAGUGGCACAGAGACCUCGUCUACCCACGAUAGUAUGCGUUGGUGAGCAACUAGUGAGAGGAAAAGAUUCGGUCGAUGUAUAUAUAGAAUGCACAUCCUGGCAGCAGAAAAGACACUUCUAUCAUCUGUCACCGUGCAAGUUGUUUCUAUAGAUUACGUAAAAGUGUUAAACCAAGGUAAAUACUGAGGAAGAUGUGAUGUGAGUAACGAUGGUUCAUCUAUCUCCAUCCCUCGAGGACAGUGAGAAUCUUUGGUGGUAAUAUUUCAAUAACAACAAUUCCACCAUUUCGAGCGGUUGUUUGACUACCGUGACCCCAGGAAUAAUUGAAAUUGAUAUGGAAAAAAAAUCUAUGGACACGAUGUACGAUUGCUGGUAUCAUUAGCAACAUUGCUUGGAGAAGUUCCGUUCCUACCUCACCUUGUGCCAGAUCGUUACCCAGUUAUCACGGUGAGUUGCUAACCAUUAAACGACGUCGAUAUCCUUCCCCAUCCCACCAACACAGUGGUGAAUCUCACGAGUAAAAGCUACAAUCGUCACGUACAGCUGCUAUAUGAUCUUCCCCCUCAUCUUGAUUGUAUUCAACUGGUACAGACUACCACACUUUCAGGCAUAUUGCUGGGAAAAAAAAAAAAGAAGAAAAUUUUAUGAACUACGACAUGAAAGAUGCCCAAGUUUUGGUUCAACUGUUCUAAACGGAAUUUCCUCGUCAAAGUCACUACGUGCUUACUCUGCAUUUAGCGCUGAAUUGCUAGAGGCAAAAUUAAUACCCUACCCUUUCCGACGGAAACCUCUGACUGCAGAUACUCUGUGUUUAACUUGGAACAACAUUCAACGGUUUGAACGUUGGCGAGGGGAGGUAAAAAUGUGGAGGAAGUGGAAGAACGCUGAUGGAAUGUUUCAAAAUAUUUGUGAAGGAUUUUGCGAAACAUAUUGUCGGGGCCAUUGUGAAUGACAGGUACAUGAUUGAGGGGCAUUUAAGCCACUUGCAACUUUGUAAUUGUUAAGGGUGAGUUAAGAAAGUAGAGAAUCCCUAUUUCGCGUUAUUCCAGCGAUGUUACGAGUAUAUUAUAUAUUCCUCCAUAAUAUUGUUUUAUUUACCGAUACUAAUAUUUAAAAUCGAAAUUAUUAGAAACAAAUCAAUACAAUCAAUUGACAAAAAUUUCAAGAUUCUAAAAAAUUAGAAUUAAUAGAAUUAUUCCCACAGAAAAUAAUUUCCUGAUGUAAAAGUAUUUUUUUUAUUUUUACCCUAACGACGAAAAUCUGAGAGAAGGUUGAACUGAUAAUUGCGCAAUAUUUAAAAACACUCAUUUACUCUAUUACGAAACCCAUCAUCAUGGUAUUGUAACCGGCAGGUAGUUUUAUCCGACCGAAAAAAUAUUCUAUCACAACUCACUUCGUUAUUCGAUGAUGGAACCUGCCCCACGGCAAGGUUAAUACUGCGCAAUUAUAAAACAAUGUCAACUUGUUUUACGUAUGUCUACUCAAUGAUCAUGAGACAGUCAUGCAAGUAAUGAUCCACUUUAAGCACAACUCGGUUUUUCGAUUAUACUUGGUGCUUGCGCAACGCCAAAUUUAUUCAAAUCGAUACCCUCCCUCCACAUAAUUAUCGGGAUCCAAAGGGCAGAUGUAGCGUCAAUAGGUUAAAUUUUAUUCCACGAGAAUUGUCUAGUACCCGGAGGCUGUCUCGAUUUUACCCGAUGACGCAAAUUGUUGUUUGGAUGCGCGAGGUCGUGCAAGAGGUGCGGAGAAAGGGACUUUUGAAAAAGACCAAUGACGAGUGAGACCGGUUUCCGAUAGCGUUAAAAAUUCAGAAAGCCGAGGGUAGAGUAAAUUCGUUAAAGUGCAGAUAAAUAAUAAUAUUGAAUAAUUUAGAUAGCAUUCCAGGGAUAGAUGUUAUCAGAUUAAUGAUUUUUGCAUUCUGCGGAUGGCAGGAUGAUUAUUAACAACGAAACCAGUGAUGCAAUGAUAUUCCUA